Molecule: long non-coding RNA, 659 nt
Organism: Homo sapiens (human)
Lineage: Eukaryota; Metazoa; Chordata; Mammalia; Primates; Hominidae
Exons: 3
Source: RefSeq, a predicted model, not a curated record
AGGGAACCUGUGUGCUCGUCUGCAAUACACUCUGGGCAGGGAAACUGUGUGCAAGUCUGCAAUACACUCUGGGCUUUAUGUCUAAAGUCAGUCAGCAGGGUUUUUUGCAAGCGGAAUGCAGAAGCCAUGUAAGGCCACAGAACAGUUACAGACGAUGAGGAACAGUGAGCGUCCCCCUCCCAUUCAGUGGGAGCCACCUGCGCAGGCCCACCCCACAGACCACAGCGAGGAUGCGCGCCUAAGAACGGUGGUGGUUGGAACUAAGGUCCUGCUCUGGCUUUGCCUUCCACCAUGAAUGAAAGCUCCCUAAAGCCUCCCCGGAAGCAGACGCCACCAUGCCUCCUGCAUAGCCUGUGGAGGAAACCUCUUCUUUUCCUUAUAAACUAAACCUCUUUUCCUUAAAAAUUACCCGGCCUCAGGUAUUUCUUGAUAGCAAUGCGAGAAUGCACUAAUAACACCAGGUAUACGCCAACAGUAGAAUAAAUAUUCAUUUAAUCCGAUACAAAAUUAUUUAACAGUUACACUUAUACAAUUACAUAUAUUCCCCCAAAGUUUAUUAUUUCUCAAAGAUUAAGGUGUAUCUUUACUUUGUAGUCAUAACUGAGUGUCUGCUUGUUAAUGGUAUUGCAGUUUAUAUAAAAUAAAAAUGGUGGAAACAG